Molecule: ribosomal RNA, 2953 nt
Filed under: Capsicum annuum
Lineage: Eukaryota; Viridiplantae; Streptophyta; Magnoliopsida; Solanales; Solanaceae
Description: bacterial LSU rRNA
Rfam family: Eukaryotic large subunit ribosomal RNA
Source: RNAcentral
AAAAUGGAAGGCGGUUAAGCGCGCGACCUAUACCCGAUCAUCGGGGCAAUUGCCAGGCCUCGAUGAGUAGGAGGUGCGGCGGUCACUGGAAAUUGUCGCGAGCUUGGGAGGGGCUUCCAUCGGUGCAGAUCUUAGUGGUAGUAGCAAAUAUUCAAAUGAGAACUUUGAAGUACGAAGAGAGAAAAGGUUCCAUGUGAACGGCACUUGCAUAUGGGUUAGCCGAUCCUAAGGGUUGGGGAAACCCUGACAGAUAGCAAAUUUUGUGCGUACUCUAAAAGGGAAUUGGGUUAAAAUUCCUGAACCGAGGUAUGGCGGUCGACGGCAUCGUUANNNNNNNNNNNNNNACGUCGGCGGGAGCCUCGGGAAGAGUAAUAUUUUUUGUUUAACAGCCUGUCCUCCCUGAAAUUGGCUCAGCAGGAGGUAACGUCCAGAAGCUGGAAAAGCACCGCACUUUGCGUGGUGUCCGAUGCACUCCCAGCGGCCCUUGAAAAUAUAGAGAACUGAAUGUCGUCCACACUCAGUCGUACUCAUAACUGCAUCAGGUCUCCAAGGUGAAAACGCUCUGGUCGAUAGAACAAUGUAGGCAAGGGAAGUUGGAAAAAUAGAUUCAUAACUUCGGGAAAAGGAUUAGCUCUGAGGGAUGGGAAUGGGCAUCCCAUUCCCGAACCCGUCAGCUGUCGGUGGACUACUCAAGCUGCUUUCGCGGCUAGGGGUGGGCAUGGUGUGGUAUAUACCAAAUACCAGAUCGAAACCAAAAAUUUUUAUACUGCGAUAUGGAUGUUAUGUAUUAGGUAUGGUAUUUGGUAGAAAUUUUAAUUUAUUUUGGUAUUUGGUACGGUAUUUGGUAUUUAUGUAAUAAAUACAAAAAUAUCAUAUACCGGACAAAAGUUUUUAAAUAACAUAUAAAAUCCACAUAUAUAUUAUAUUUCAGAUUAUUAAAUAUAUUUAUAUAUCAUCCAUUAGCCAAUUGAACAUAAAAGUAACUUUAAUUAAGAAAUAAAUUUUUGGGGAAGCUUAUUAUUUAGGAGUACUAUGCUUAAGUUUAGGUAAUGUUGUUGAGAGUUUGCAUCUCGUACUAUUCAAUAGUAAUUGAAAUGUUCUUUUGGUCUAAUUGAUUAAAAAAGAUAGUUGUUAGUCUAAUAUGAUUGAGACAUUUUUAAAAUUUAAAGUAAUAGUUUUUUUAUAUGAAUAUAUGUAAGUAGAAAUCAAAUAGAGUAUGGUUACCGAAUUACAAAACAAACAAACAAACAACAAACCCAGUGUAUUCCCACUUAGUGGGGUCUGGGGGGGGUAAGAUGUACACAAUCCAUACCUCUACCUCUGAUGAAGUGGAAAGGUUGUUUCCGAAAGACCCCCGGCUCAGGCACAAGAUAUCACACAAACACAUAGUAAAGCUAUGGUUACCGAAUUACCAUACCAUAAAAUACCAAAACCGAAUUUAAAAAUACCAAACGAUACCGAACUAAUUUGGUAUGGUAAUUGUAUUUUUCUUUUAGAUACCAAAAACCGAAGUUACCGUACCGAAUUUUAAAAUAUCAUACUGUAUCGUACCAUGCCCACCCCUACCAGCAAUGAGAGAGGGUCACCGCGGGCUGGCCGAGGGACGAAUUGGGAACGGUUCCAUCGUGGCCCUUCCUAGCGCGUUGAACAGCCAACUCAGAACUGGUACGGACAAGGGAGAUCCUACAAUUUAAUUAAAACAAAGCAUUACGAUGGUCCCAACGGAUAUUCACGCAACGUGAUUUCUACCCAGUGCACUGAAUGUCAAAGUGAAGAAAUUCAACCAAGCGCGUGUAAACGACGGGAGUAACUAUGACUCUCUUGAGGUAGCCAAAUGUCUCAUCAUCUAAUUAGGGACGCACAUGAAUGGAUUAACGAGAUUCCCACAGUCCCUGUAUACUAUCCAGCGAAACCAUAGCCAAGGGAAUGGGCUUGGCAGAAUCAACGAGGAAAGAAGACCCUAUUGAGCUUGACUCUAGUCCGAAUUUGUAAAAUGGACUUGAGAGGUGUAGUAUAAGUGGGAGCUAAAAGACGAAACUAAAAUACCACUACUUUUAACAUUAUUUUACUUAUUCUGAGAGUCAAAAGUGGGGCACUGCCCCUUCUUUAAGACCCAAGACUCGCUCUACAGGCCGAUCCGAGUGGAAGAAAUUGAUAGGUGGGGAAUUUGGCAGGGGCGGGACAUCUGUUAAAACGUAACACAGGUGUCCUAUGAUGAGCUCAACAAGAACAGAAAUUUAAUGUGGAACAAAAGGGUAAAUGUUCAUUUGAAUCUGAUUUCCUGUAUGAAUACAAACUGUGAAAGCGUGGCCUAACGAUCCAUUAAACCUUCGAAAUUCGAAUCUAGAGGUGCCAGAAAAGUUACCAUAGGGAUAACUAGCAUGUGGCAGCCAAGCAUUCAUAGCGCCAUUACUUUUUUAUCCUUUGGUGUCUUCUCUACCAAUCAUUGUGAAGUAAAAUUCACCAAGUGUUGGAUUGUUCACCAUUCAAUAGGGAACGUGAGCUAAGAUUAGACCAUUAUGAGACAGGUUAGUUUUAUCCUACUGAUGAUAGUGUCGACAUAGUAAUUCAACCUAGUAUGAAAGGAACCAUUAAUUCAAACAUUAAUUUAUCGUGCGUGGUUAAAAAGCCAGUGCGCGAAGCUACCGUGUGUUGGAUUAUGACUAAACGUCUCUAGGUCAUAAUCUGGGCUAGAAGCGAUGCAUGCUCCCUCUGUCCUCUUACCGACCCGUAGUAGGGGUCUCGACCCACAAGGGCACGUGUUGUUGGCUAAGCCAUCACAGCGGAAAGGUCGCAGUGGCCUCCUUGAAGUACAAUUUCCAUUCAGCGGAAGGUAGAAUCCUUUGCAGAUAUGUUAAAUAUGCGAUAGGGUAUUGUAAGUGAAAAAGUGGCCUUGCUGCCAUGAUCCACUGAUAUUCAGCUCUUUGUCGCUCCAGUUCAUCCCUCCACCUCU